This is a non-coding RNA of Zonotrichia albicollis (white-throated sparrow), 1487 nucleotides long. The record is from RefSeq and is a predicted model, not a curated record. NCBI's taxonomy places the organism in Eukaryota, Metazoa, Chordata, Aves, Passeriformes, Passerellidae.
AGUACAGACAGUUCUGCGUAGGAUAAUCCAGCCUACCUGUAAGAUCUACUUAGCUCUGUGACAACUUGUGACAUUUAGGCUUUGCCAGAAAAGAAAAAAGAAAGUCAAGAGUAAUAGAAGAUUGGAGUGCUGCUGACAAGACAUCUGUGGAAGCUGGCACAAACUGGCAUUAAAUCAAGAGAUAACGUCUUUACUUCAGUUAUCUUCACUGACCUGGUAAAAUACAAGAUUUUUCUGAAUUUCCAAGGUAAAGAAUGAGGGCAUUAGGGUGAUGACUGACAUCUAUCUGCCACUCAGCUGCUCCCUUGGGGCAGAAGUGAAGGUGUACUGGGUGGUAUGCUUUUCUCCAGAGGUGGAAUGGACAGAUCCCAACAGGUUGCUGCAGUGCAAGUAUGUGAAAACUGCAGUGGAUGUGGAUGCAGGAGGUGAAGUACAUCUGGAAUCAGACACAUGUGGUCUGUGGCUACCACACGGAUUUGGCCACUGAAAGGAGCUCUGUAAUGAUGCCAGUGUGGAGAGGCUGCCAGGAUGAAGGUUUAAGGCCACGUCUGUACAUCUCCUCACCAGCCUGGCUGUAUGGCUCUUACACCAAUGUCUGAGCAGUGCUACCAAUGAGGAGCUGCAGGGUGAUGCCAAGCAGCUACAAGAUGGACCUGCAACUGGCUAAGGCCAAGGCCAUCAGUAACAGCGGCAGCACCUCUGGGGUAAUGGAUUUAAGAAGGGGGAAAAACCUGUACAGCUAUGGAUGGAGCCUGAAGGAGACUGUGACCCUGUGAGACACUUAUGCUGGAGCAGCCUUCUGACAGGACUUGUGUCCUCGGGAGGAACCCACACUGGACCAGCAUGUUCCUGAAGAACUGCAUGCCAUGGAAAGGACCCACACUGGAGGCUGUGGGAAAGACCCACUUUGGAGAAGUUCAUGGAGGACUGUGUGCCAUGGGAGCAACCCUACACUGGCACAGAGAAAGUGAGGAGUCCUUCUCUGAGGAAAAAACACCAGCAGACACAAUCUGUAGUGAACUGACUGCAGCUUCCAUUCCUUGGGGGAGACUGAGAAUUAACAAUACUUCUCACCUCCCUCUAGACACUCCAAUAGGAAAAUACUAAUUUACUAGCAACCUCACCACAGCUGCCUUGCUUUCCAUUUUCUCUGUUUCAGACAGGAACAUAUACACUGACACCAUGCAUCAUUGAUGGAAAAGUAUUUGGGAUUUCUUUCAGCAAAGAUUCUGCUCAUGAAACGUCAACCAAGAGAGGGAGAGAACUUGCAUUCUUUAGGGCAUGAAACCCAUGUAACAGAAUUUCAUAGCUUUUUAAUAUGAUUUUGUUAGUAAUGUUCCAGUGCUUUGUGGCUAAGUUCCUAAUCAUACAUAUCUAUAUCCUGACUUCUGAAAAACAAAAUACUACUUUAGUUCUUUUAACAUUGUCAGCAGCAAUGUGUAAUGAGACAAUGUCUUUAUACUGUUGGACUAAAUUUCUCACAGAGG